Small nucleolar RNA from Gossypium arboreum, 106 nucleotides. It matches the Rfam family "Plant small nucleolar RNA R71". Rfam says of the family: R71 is a member of the C/D box family of snoRNAs containing the C (UGAUGA) and D (CUGA) box motifs. Multiple nearly identical copies of this snoRNA have been identified in Arabidopsis, and it is thought to function as a 2'-O-ribose methylation guide for 18S ribosomal RNA. NCBI's taxonomy places the organism in Eukaryota, Viridiplantae, Streptophyta, Magnoliopsida, Malvales, Malvaceae. The record is from Rfam.
AGUCCAUGAUGUGGGCACUUUAUUAGCAUUGUAUUGAAGCAUUCCCAUGCCUCGUACAUAGAUUCACCUUUGUAUUGUUUGAAAUUGGCGAUCUCUCACCUGAGCU